Molecule: ribosomal RNA, 503 nt
Filed under: Bacillus sp. (in: firmicutes)
Lineage: Bacteria; Bacillati; Bacillota; Bacilli; Caryophanales; Bacillaceae
Description: bacterial SSU rRNA
Rfam family: Bacterial small subunit ribosomal RNA
Source: RNAcentral
CUGUCACUUAUGGAUGGACCCGCGUCGCAUUAGCUAGUUGGUGAGGUAACGGCUCACCAAGGCAACGAUGCGUAGCCGACCUGAGAGGGUGAUCGGCCACACUGGGACUGAGACACGGCCCAGACUCCUACGGGAGGCAGCAGUAGGGAAUCUUCCGCAAUGGACGAAAGUCUGACGGAGCAACGCCGCGUGAGUGAUGAAGGCUUUCGGGUCGUAAAACUCUGUUGUUAGGGAAGAACAAGUGCUAGUUGAAUAAGCUGGCACCUUGACGGUACCUAACCAGAAAGCCACGGCUAACUACGUGCCAGCAGCCGCGGUAAUACGUAGGUGGCAAGCGUUAUCCGGAAUUAUUGGGCGUAAAGCGCGCGCAGGUGGUUUCUUAAGUCUGAUGUGAAAGCCCACGGCUCAACCGUGGAGGGUCAUUGGAAACUGGGAGACUUGAGUGCAGAAGAGGAAAGUGGAAUUCCAUGUGUAGCGGUGAAAUGCGUAGAGAUAUGGAGGAA